Molecule: ribosomal RNA, 588 nt
Filed under: Photobacterium sp. 3-1prime-E4
Lineage: Bacteria; Pseudomonadati; Pseudomonadota; Gammaproteobacteria; Vibrionales; Vibrionaceae
Also listed under: 1 other name
Description: bacterial SSU rRNA
Rfam family: Bacterial small subunit ribosomal RNA
Source: RNAcentral
UCCUACGGGAGGCAGCAGUGGGGAAUAUUGCACAAUGGGGGAAACCCUGAUGCAGCCAUGCCGCGUGUGUGAAGAAGGCCUUCGGGUUGUAAAGCACUUUCAGUAGGGAGGAAGGUAGUGUAGUUAACACCUGCAUUAUUUGACGUUACCUACAGAAGAAGCACCGGCUAACUCCGUGCCAGCAGCCGCGGUAAUACGGAGGGUGCGAGCGUUAAUCGGAAUUACUGGGCGUAAAGCGCAUGCAGGCGGCCUGUUAAGUCAGAUGUGAAAGCCCGGGGCUUAACCUCGGAAUUGCAUUUGAAACUGGCAGGCUAGAGUCUUGUAGAGGGGGGUAGAAUUUCAGGUGUAGCGGUGAAAUGCGUAGAGAUCUGAAGGAAUACCAGUGGCGAAGGCGGCCCCCUGGACAAAGACUGACGCUCAGAUGCGAAAGCGUGGGGAGCAAACAGGAUUAGAUACCCUGGUAGUCCACGCCGUAAACGAUGUCUACUUGGAGGUUGUGGCCUUGAGCCGUGGCUUUCGGAGCUAACGCGUUAAGUAGACCGCCUGGGGAGUACGGUCGCAAGAUUAAAACUCAAAUGAAUUGACGGA